Non-coding RNA from Phrynosoma platyrhinos (Desert horned lizard), 72 nucleotides. The record is from the annotation of a GenBank genome assembly. Lineage: Eukaryota; Metazoa; Chordata; Lepidosauria; Squamata; Phrynosomatidae.
GCCAGUGUGGCAUAGUAGUUUGAGCGUUGGACUACAACUCUGGAAACCAGGGUUCAAUUCCCAGCUUGGCCA